CUCACCGUCCUGCCCACCUCUAGUGAGGAGCUGUCCAGUACAACAACAGCCACACUGAUAUGUCUGGCCAACAAGGGCUUCCACUCAGACUGGACUAUGAGCUGGAAAGUGGACGGGACCAGCAAGAAACAAGAGGCCAGUCCCAGGGUCCUGGAGGACAGUAUGUACAGCUGGAGCAGCACCCUGACUCUCACUGCCCAGGAGUGGACCAAGGCAGGAGAGGUGACCUGUGAAGCCCAGCAGAAAUCCCAGACUCCGGUCACCAAGACCCUGAGGAGGACUGACUGUUCUGGGUAG
Salmo salar (Atlantic salmon) is the source of this 297-nucleotide non-coding RNA. The record is from the annotation of a RefSeq genome assembly. Lineage: Eukaryota; Metazoa; Chordata; Actinopteri; Salmoniformes; Salmonidae.